AUACGUACAUACAUGCAUUCAAUAAUUAUCGAUAGAAAAAUUAGCACAUAUAUUGAUAGUUUUUCUUGUCUUCAUUUUCCUGUAAACAGCAAUGAAGUUAGCCGAUUAUUAACGAUCUCUUAACGUAUUUUUUAAACGUAUUUAAACAGGAACAUAACGUUAAAGAAAUAAAUUAUUGACGAAACUUAAUCUGAAAAAUGGUUCGACAACACAGAUGAUUCUUCAAUAUUAACCAUUAAUUAUUACAAUUGUAUAUUCGUCAAAUAUUCAUCCUCUAAUAAGUAGAAUAAAAGAUGGAAUGUAAGAAAAGAAAUAGAGAACUUCAUCGAAGAAAUUAUUGGACAUUAUCAUCAACGUUUCAUAUCUGAAUUAGAAAUGCUUCUUAGAAGCUUGGCACAACAGGCGCUUCGGAUGCUGUACUCGCCAAAUUCCUUGGCUUGCAGACGCAACCGCUCUCAACCAGCACGUAAUCCUGACCGGUUAGGGUCACCGGCCCCAAAGGAAUCACCAAAAACAAAAAAAAGAAGACUCGAUUGAUAUUCGUUUGCAAUUAUAUCAUAAAAAGGAUUUACUUCGAUUAAAUAUUUAACACUAGCCUUUAUUCGAAAAAUAAUUGAAGAGUAGGCCAAAGUAUGUUAUUUACGAACAUUAAGUAUCGUAGAACGUAUCUGGCCUAGUGUGCUACAUUUGAAAUAAAACGAAUCGCUGACAGAACGACAAGAAUUUUAAUUCGAAACUCUCUCGUUUAUAUUUCAACAAGUUACACGUUUUCUUUUACAUGAUAGUAAGAGAAAUUCUAAUAUUGAUGAUAUAAAUAUAGAAUACUUACUCGCAGACUUCGAAUACGACUUGCUGAAGAAGAUCAGGAAACUUUUGUACGAUUGUCACUGGUUGACCACUCGUCAAACUGACACCAUACAUAGGUGCUGUGGUGUUAUACCUUGUUUUACAGAGUCUGCUUGGAGAGCCGCAGCUUUCCUUUGCAGAAAAUCCUCGACCUAAAAAUUAUAAGAAAUAAAAAAAUUAAUGUAACAAUCCAUAAGCCAAAAUAUCAAAAGAUCGAUCAGAAGAAACAUAGGGAAGGGCUAGAUCCUUAGAUCUAUGAGAUCAAAACGGAAGAUGAUCGACAUCAUGAUCGAGAGGGGUCGUCUUCGCUCUUUCCUCGGAAUUCCUCGGAAUUCUUCGGAGCGACGAACGUGCACAAGUUGACGUUCGAAAGGAACGUGAGUGGGUCGCCUACGAAUACCGUUAUAAGCACAACGAACGAUAACUGUAUUGACUGGAUAACAUGGUGCCUUAUUACCCGUCUUCCGUCCCAAAGGAUUCCUUCUCAUCAGAGGAUAACUUUAAAGCGAUAUGACAUGUAAUACUAUCUGCCUAGAUAACUAAACUAAAAAUGAUUGACUUGGAUCGAUUUAGGUCAUAAUCAUAACUCCGAAUCGACCUAUUUAUGAUUACAAAGAGAUGCAAGAAAUAAUGACGAAUAAUUUCGCCUUCGUUCCAUACAUCUUUGAAUCUUUAUGGUUGACGGUCUUAUGUUCGUUUCUAUCUGACCACCCAUAAAAAAAAAAGUAACUUUAUUUUUUAUUUCAGAAUUCGGUCAAAUUCAUUUCCCUUGAACGUUGCAAAAUUUAUCAGGAAAAAGAAUUUUAUUUGGACAAUUUAUAAAAGAAAUUCAUUGAAAGAAGCUUUUCGUAUUAAUCUAUGAUGUCAGAGUGUAACUAAUUUUCUUUCCUUUUAGUUUCCGUUAAAACGAUUCGAUACAUCUUUUUUUUUUUUUUUUUUUUUUUUUGAAAGGUAGAAUAGUUAUGGAUCAUAUUUAAAA
Molecule: long non-coding RNA, 1825 nt
Organism: Vespa velutina
Lineage: Eukaryota; Metazoa; Arthropoda; Insecta; Hymenoptera; Vespidae
Exons: 3
Source: RefSeq, a predicted model, not a curated record